RNAcentral lists this ribosomal RNA (1428 nucleotides) under Bacillus inaquosorum. RNAcentral's name for it is "bacterial SSU rRNA". It matches the Rfam family "Bacterial small subunit ribosomal RNA". The record is from RNAcentral. Lineage: Bacteria; Bacillati; Bacillota; Bacilli; Caryophanales; Bacillaceae.
CCUGUUGUUGGCGGGCGGACGGNNNUGAGUGAACAGCGUGGGUUAACCUGCCUGUAAGACUGGGAUAACUCCGGGAAACCGCGGUGCUAAUACCGCGAUCGCUUCGUAUUGUAACGCGGCAGNNGUGUCAAACAUAAUACGUGGCUUCCGCUACCACUUACAGAUGGACCCGCGGCGCAUUAGGUAGUUGGUGAGGUAACGGCUCACCACGGCAACGAUGCGUAGCNNACCUGAGAGGGUGAUCGNNCACACUGGGACUGAGACCCGACCCAUACUCCUACCGGAGGCAGCUGUAAGGAAUCUUCCGCAAUGGACCAAAGUCUGACCGAGCGCCUCCGCGUGAAUGAUGAUGGUUUUCGGAUCCUAUUUCUCUGUUGUUAAGGAAGAACUAGUACCGUUCCAAUAGGGCUGUACCUUGACAGUACCUAACCACAAAGCCACUGCUAACUACCUGCCACCAGCCUCGGUAAUACGUAUGUGUCAAUCGUUGUCCGGAAUUAUUGGGCGUAAAGGGCUCGCAGGCUGUUUCUUAAGUCUGAUGUCAAAGCCCCCGGCUCAACCUGGGAGGGUCAUUGGAAACUGGGGAACUUGAGUGCGGAAAAGGAAAGUGUAAUUCCACAUGUAGCUGUGAAAUGCGUAGAGAUGUGGAGGAACACCAAUGGCGAUGGCUACUCUCUGAUCUGUAACUGACGCUGAGGACCUAGAGCGUGGGGGAGCGAUACAAGAUUAUAUACCCUGGUACUCCACGCCAUACACGAUGAGUGCUAAGUGUUAGNUGGUUUCCGCCCCUUAGUGCUGCAGCUUAACGCAAUAAUCACUCCGCCUGGGGAGUGCGGUCGCAAGAGAGAAACUCAAAGGAAUAGAGGGGGGCCCGCACAAGCGGGGGAGCAUGGGGUUUAAUUAGAAACAACGAAAAAAACCUUCCCAGGUUUUCACAUCCUGAGACAUUCCUAGAGAGAGGAGGUCCCUUUCGGGGGCAGAGACACAGGUGGCGCAGGGUUGUUGUCAUCUUGUGUUGUGAGAUGUGGGUUUAAGUCCCACAACGAGCGCAACCCUUCAUUUUUUUUCCCAGCAUUCAGUUGGGCACUCUAAGGUGACCGCCGGUGACAAACCGGAGGAAGGUGGGGAUGACGUCAAAUCAUCAUGGCCCUUAUGGCCUGGGCUACACACGUGCUACAAUGGACAGAACAAAGGGCAGCGAAACCGCGAGGUUAAGCCAAUCCCACAAAUCUGUUUUCAGUUCGGAUCGCAGUCUGCAACUCGACUGCGUGAAGUUGGAAUCGCUUGUAAUCGCGGAUCAGCAUGCCGCGGUGAAUACGUUCCCGGGCCUUGUACCACACCNCCGUCACCCCAAGAGAGUUUGUAACCCCCGAAGUCGGUUGAGGUAACCUUUUAGGAGGCCCGCCGCCCACGGUGUGGACAGAUGAC